Molecule: non-coding RNA, 1622 nt
Organism: Anas platyrhynchos (mallard)
Lineage: Eukaryota; Metazoa; Chordata; Aves; Anseriformes; Anatidae
Source: RefSeq, a predicted model, not a curated record
CAGGAGGUGUCUGCUUGGUCUCUCAUCAUGGACUUUCUCUUACGAGGAGGUUGCUGCUAUCCUCAAUUGAGGCAACAGCAAUAUGUUGACAGCAGAGAAGCUGAGAAACUUAAUUAAUUAUUAUUAUUUUUUGGCUAGAAAAUAUUAGGGAUGUCUUCUAAACUGGCUUUUGGGGCACUCAUCUUUUUCUCUCUCUCUCUCCCCUGGAUCUCCUGAGUUGUUCCUACUAGGAGAGGAGAGUCCAACUUCCCUGGUACUUGGGGUGCUGCUACUAGUGCUCCUUUUGAUGCCAGUCUGCCCUCCACCACUGUUUCUGAAGCAACAGAGGCUUGUAGAUACCAGCCUUUGUGUCAGGUUCCUCUGUGGAUCAUUUGCCUGAGAACUCUAUUACAGUCUUUCUCACUGAGAAAUGCACAGAAUGUGAACCUCAAGAUAUUUAAAAAAAAUAUAGUAAAAUAUGACACGCACAGUAUUUCAUUUCACAACAGAAAAUUUUACUUGUUACCUCUCUGCUGAAGAAUGAAAGGGUCAUUUUUGUCUGCUAUAUGAGAACCCUUCUUUCAUUUGAAAACCAUCAUUUGCCAGGCUGUGAGGGACCUCAGCUGGGACUGAGUUUGGUACUAUUAAGCCAAUAGGCUUAAUUUUUGUAUUGGGACCCUGAACUACUUUUAGUCAGAGGUUAAACACAGAGCUGUUCAACCUUUAACAUGCCUUUGGCAUAAUUUGUGCCACACAAGGAUGGCUUGGCUUGGAAGAAGCUCCCUUCCCUCUGUGAGCAGAGAACAAGACACAGGUGGCAGUGUCCCGUGGGAUCUUUUCCUAGCUUACUCAAAUAAUUAAGUAAAAAUAAUCAGACUGCUAAGUGUAAACUUUUGUGGUGGUCUGUCUCAUAAGCAAGUUAUGUGGUGAACACAAGGUCAGAUGCUGAUCCUUGCAGUGUCUAGUAAGUGCUGGAAAUUAGGCUUGUAGAGGCAUCGCGAUGUGCUGAGGCUGCAUGGAGGAGGCUGGAAGGUGCCCCUGUUACCUGGGCAAUUUGUGAGCUUCGUGUUACAAAGUGAUGUGCCCUGGGCUUUCAGCAUGUGUUUGAGGGGAAGGAGAGUCUCACACAAAUCAAACUCAGUCUUUAAACUUCAGUCUGGAGCCACCAACAGCAGUCUGGUCCUGCUUUGUCUAAUGUGGCAUUGCACUGAUGGCUGCUGCCACUGAAGGUAGUGGUAAGAUUCACCCUGGGCUGAAAAGGAAGACUUAGACCAACAGGAAUAUUUUUCAAAACUUAGUAACUUCUAUUUAAUACUUCUUUCUUGUCCUUAGUAUUAGUUUCUAUUACAUAGCAUAUAAAUAUUUUAUAACAAUUGGUUUUAUUAAUCUCAUGUUAUUAAUUCAAAAAGUGAAACCCAGGUCUGGAGCACUCUCUAAUGAACAUCUUCCAAAGCAGCCGUGGUCUGGAUAAUUUAACUAUCUGAUUCACUGAUUCUUUAAGAUCACUGACAUACCUAUAUGAACAACUCUCAUCUGCAUGCUAAGCUGUUUGAAUUUUGCACUCCUAUCCUGACCUGCCUUAUAUGUAUAUGGACUGCAUUGCAUCCUACAUCUACAGGUCAAUUCUUUAUUGUGGCAUGCCC